Molecule: RNA transcript, 1699 nt
Organism: Passer domesticus (house sparrow)
Lineage: Eukaryota; Metazoa; Chordata; Aves; Passeriformes; Passeridae
Gene name: feather beta keratin-like
Exons: 4
Source: RefSeq, a predicted model, not a curated record
UGAUGUGUGACCUCAGAGCAGAGGGUUGGUGGCUUGGGGUCACCAGCACGGGUGAUCCAGGGACCCUGAACAGGGAGGAGGGUACCUUGAGGCUCACUUAAUGGGACCCUGCAGUGAGGAGGGAAAGGGGGAUCUCCAUGAGGGAUCAUUGAAGACCUCAUAACAAGUCCACUGUUGUUUAUGGUCUUGGACCUGAGAUUUGGAUUGGUUGUCCUUGGUCCUCAGUGAGAGAAGGAAUUGUUUUUUCUCCCAGCUCUGUGAAGAGAGCUUACUAUCCCUCAGUAUGAAGCUCCAAAGUACACACUAAAGCAGUACAGAAUCUAAAAAAUAUAAAAGCUAAAACCUGAGGCAUCAGCUCCAUUCCAGUUACAGCCCAGCAAUUGGACCCCACAUUUUGACCUUGCUUGGCCCAGAGCACUACGGAUGAACCCACAAGACUGUGAGGAGCACAGGACACCUCCCUAAGUUACAUGGAUUGCUUUUCCAUCUCCAAUGGCAAAGGCCAGGAAUAUAGACAAAAGACUGGAGAGAUGCAGCCAAGGUUCUGACAGAACAAGAGGACACAGCCUGAAGCUGCAUCAAGGAAAAUAUAGGUAGGAUAUUAGCAAAACGUUUUUCACUGAAAGAGUGAUAAAGUACUGGAAUGGUCUGCCAGGGGAGGUGAUGGAGUCACCGUCCCUGGAUGUGUUUAAAACAAGAUUGGAUGUGGCACUUGGUGCCAUGGUUUAGUUGAGGAGUUAGGGCAGGGGUUGGACUCGAUGAUGUUGAAGGUCUCUUCCAGCCCAAUGAUUGUGUGAAUUCUGUGAAUUCUGUGAAAAGCUCUGCCAGGAAAUGGGGCUCCUCUUCACCACACACACACAAAGCACAGCACACCAGUGCCGUGGGUGACUUUAUUGAUGAUACCCCAUCUCCACAAAGCUUUGGUUACAUCUUCAACCCAUUGUGACAUAAACCAUCAACAUUUAACCUCUAAUAAUCACAUAUAAAAGCUGCCUCCAAGGUCGGAUGGACACGGCCUCAAGAGAAGGAUGUGGAAUUGCAGAAUCACACAAAGGAACGCCACCAUCAUGACAGACAAGGAAGGAGCAACUCACUAACUGUCCAUUAGUAAUUACUCCUUUUUGCUAAUAGCAACACAAUAUUACAUUUACAGGAUAUAAGUUAUGAAACUCUUUGGCUUGAAUACAGAAUAAAUAAAUUGACAUCAAAAACCAGGCUGGGAAAAAAGGGAUGGGCCUGGAUUUGUUGUUGGUUAUUGGAUUUCUAAAUGAAAUCAAGAAAUAUGCUUUAAAUGAUAGAGAGGCUUGUUGGGUAAAUUUUAGAAAUCUAAACUGACUAUAACAUUGGAAUAAGUGCAGCCUGAACAACCUCUACUGUCCAAGAACCUCUCUCAAUCCCAUUCAAGAAACAAGAGCAAGAGCCCAGUUUCAUCCAUCAGGAAAAACUCCUAGGCACUGGGACGUUACCAAUCUGUUGCACAGUGACAUUCCCAGGACAUCAUCAGCUCCUUCAGCAUUCCUGUGAGAAACACAAUGACUGAUGGACAUCCAGCAGCACAAAACAGAGUCCCAGUCUUCACAAAGCACCCACAAACCACAUCAUACAAGGCCCACUGAUGACAUUGCACCUCCACUGGUCUCUGUUUGCUAUUCAACAUUCACAUUCAUGUAUCUAACAACCAAAUCUACCCAAAGAUGAA